GAACGAACGUUAGCGGCGCGCCUAACACAUGCAAGUCGAGCGAGAAAGGGCUUCGGCCCCGGUAAAGCGGCGCACGGGUGAGUAACACGUAGGUAAUCUGCCCCCGGGUGGUGGAUAACGUUCCGAAAGGAGCGCUAAUACAGCAUGAGACCACGGUUCCGUAAGGGAUUGAGGUCAAAGCCGGCCUCUUCACGAAAGCUGGCGCCUGGGGAUGAGCCUGCGGCCCAUCAGCUAGUUGGUAGGGUAACGGCCUACCAAGGCGAAGACGGGUAGCUGGUCUGAGAGGAUGAUCAGCCACACUGGAACUGAGACACGGUCCAGACUCCUACGGGAGGCAGCAGUGGGGAAUCUUGCGCAAUGGGCGAAAGCCUGACGCAGCGACGCCGCGUGAGUGAUGAAGGCCUUCGGGUUGUAAAGCUCUGUGGAGGGGGACGAAUAAGGGUUGGCUAACAUCCAGCUCGAUGACGGUACCCUUUUAGCAAGCACCGGCUAACUCUGUGCCAGCAGCCGCGGUAAGACAGAGGGUGCAAACGUUGUUCGGAAUUACUGGGCGUAAAGCGCGUGUAGGCUGCUCGGAAAGUCGGAUGUGAAAGCCCUGGGCUCAACCUAGGAAGUGCAUUCGAAACUUCCGAGCUGGAGUCCUGGAGAGGAAGGCGGAAUUCUCGGUGUAGAGGUGAAAUUCGUAGAUAUCGAGAGGAACACCGGUGGCGAAGGCGGCCUUCUGGACAGCGACUGACGCUGAGACGCGAAAGCGUGGGGAGCAAACAGGAUUAGAUACCCUGGUAGUCCACGCCGUAAACGAUGGGUGCUAGGUGUCGCGGGCUUUGACCCCUGCGGUGCCGUAGCUAACGCAUUAAGCACCCCGCCUGGGGAGUACGGCCGCAAGGC
RNAcentral lists this ribosomal RNA (888 nucleotides) under uncultured bacterium. RNAcentral's name for it is "bacterial SSU rRNA". It matches the Rfam family "Bacterial small subunit ribosomal RNA", at positions 27 to 894 of the family's 1533-position model. The record is from RNAcentral.